RNAcentral lists this ribosomal RNA (294 nucleotides) under uncultured bacterium. Its description in RNAcentral is "partial 16S ribosomal RNA". It matches the Rfam family "Bacterial small subunit ribosomal RNA", at positions 333 to 644 of the family's 1533-position model. The record is from RNAcentral.
UAAUGCCUACGGGGCGCAGCAGUGGGGAAUAUUGCACAAUGGGGGAAACCCUGAUGCAGCGACGCCGCGUGAGUGAAGAAGUAUUUCGGUACGUAAAGCUCUAUCAGCAGGGAAGAAAAUGACGGUACCUGACCAAGAAGCCCCGGCUAACUACGUGCCAGCAGCCGCGGUAAUACGUAGGGGGCAAGCGUUAUCCGGAUUUACUGGGUGUAAAGGGAGCGUAGACGGCAGCGCAAGUCUUGAGUGAAAUGCCGGGGCCCAACCCCGGAACUGCUUUGGAAACUGUGCAGCUGG